Molecule: ribosomal RNA, 320 nt
Filed under: Hala sp. CG281
Lineage: Eukaryota; Metazoa; Arthropoda; Arachnida; Araneae; Pisauridae
Description: partial 12S ribosomal RNA
Source: RNAcentral
AGGUAGUAACCUAUUUGUAGUAAAAACCUAUUUAUAUAGGCGGCAUUUCUUCUUAUUAGAGGAACUUGUUAUUUAAUCGAUAAUCCACGAUAAUUUUUACUUUUUUAUAAAAUUUAUAUACCGCCAUCUAAAGAAUUAAUUUAACAAUAUCAUUUCUAAACAAAAACUAAAAAGUUAGGUCAAGGUGUAAUCAAUAAAAAAGCAAUAAAUGAGUUACAUUAAAUUUUAUUUAAGGAUUUUAAUAUAAAAACAUUAAACAAAAAAGGAUUUAAAAGUAUUACUAUACUAAUAAUUUAUUAAGAAUUAGAUAAAAAAUGUGC